Molecule: ribosomal RNA, 253 nt
Filed under: uncultured bacterium
Lineage: Bacteria
Description: partial 16S ribosomal RNA
Rfam family: Bacterial small subunit ribosomal RNA
Source: RNAcentral
UACGUAGGGGGCAAGCGUUGUCCGGAUUUAUUGGGCGUAAAGAGCGUGUAGGCGGCUUGGUAGGUCCGCUGUGAAAACUCGAGGCUCAACCUCGAGAUGUCGGCGGAAACCACUUGGCUAGAGUCCGGAAGAGGAGAGUGGAAUUCCUGGUGUAGCGGUGAAAUGCGCAGAUAUCAGGAAGAACACCUAUGGCGAAGGCAGCUCUCUGGGACGGUACUGACGCUGAGACGCGAAAGCCGGGGGAGCAAACAGG